Long non-coding RNA from Callithrix jacchus (white-tufted-ear marmoset), 2529 nucleotides. RefSeq lists it as uncharacterized. The record is from RefSeq and is a predicted model, not a curated record. Lineage: Eukaryota; Metazoa; Chordata; Mammalia; Primates; Cebidae.
CAAUACUGGGGAUUGCAAUUCGACAUGAGAUUUGGUGGCGCUACAGAUCCAAACUGCAUCAGUGUAUCUGACAGAUGAGGAAACAGAGGCUCAUGAAGUAAAUGGCAACACUGGGACUGAGUCCAUGUGUAUCUGCCUCCACUGUUUCUCACUUGCCAUGUUUCUAGUGUGUGGCUGCGCACCCGCCCACCACUUCCUUUCAACCUGGAAACCACACAAGAAGCUGACUUACCCGGUGGGAAGACCCAGGAGGGGCUAAGGAAGAUGUGUUAAUUCUGUUUGCACACAGCGAGGUAGUUGAGGAGGGCAAGAAGGCGGAGGCACUUUCCUUUUUCACCUGGCAGGAGAAGUCCCUGAUUCCUCGAGCCGCUGAUGCCUGCAUAGGCAGAGCAGCGGCUUCGGUGGCCACCUCCGUCCUGCUCUGGGAGCUCACAGGAGAGUACCACGUUACACAGUCCCAUGCAUUUUUAAUGACUUGGACUUGAAAAGUGGUUUCAGAAGUUUCUCUGAAAAACUUGUUCAGGGAGGAGGAAAGGAUGAUCCUGAUUCAUUGGACCUGUCAGAUCUGAAUCCUCAGCCGGAGAAGGAACGGAUUCCCCUCCUCUCCUCCAGCAGCUUGCAAUGGUCAGUAUGAACUGUCAGUCAUGGGGAUGCCGAGCUGUGUGCUCAGUCUCCUUCAGGGCUGGUUGGUUUCCUCUGCGUUUGUGGUGUUAAACCUGCUGAAAUGUACUAGCUGAAGUGUGCUGCCUUUAACUCCCGUGCUCACGGUGAAAUGUCUCUCUAGGACUUGCCAAGGCAACGCAAGCUAAUAUUCACUUCAAAUGGCAACAAGCCCUGAGUAUUAGUUGCCAUUUACAUUUUUAUCCUUCUAGAAGAGGUUUCUUCACUCACCACCACCCUCACUCACACACCCAUGACGUCAUCAUGUUUCUUGCCUGCGACUCCCUCCUUGCUUUAGCAGAUUCCCGAGUAGACUUGAAGCGAAAGCGUCACGUGGCAGGCAGUCCACAAGAAUCUGCUGGGAUGCCACUAUUUGCUGGGAGUGUCGUGUCUUGACGUACAUCAUUUUGUGAGCUCAUCCCCGUCACCAGAGGAGGCUGGAAAACCAACAAGGCUAUGAAGCAUUUUGAAGUUGACUGCAUUUUGCAAUGAAGUACACCAAUGAGCUAUUCUCUAUACAAGGGGCGGUUUUGAAGUGUGAAUGGAAGCAAGCCUGGGUCAGGAGCUCUGAGAACACUGCUGCCCUGGAAUCAUCACAGCAAUGACGAAAGAGCAGAACCUUCAUAAGGAAGACAUCCACGAUGUGCCUCUGAUGUGCCAGGCCUUGUGCACGAUCCCGGAAUGCAGUAUGAGCCAUGACAAAGUCCUCUGCGCCCCAUGACAAAGUCCUCUGCACCCCAGGACAGUCCUUAAUUCUUGCAGACAGACAUGCAGGUAGACACAUCUGAGGUGGUAAAGUAAGAGUAGCAUUUCCCACAGAGGGCGAGGAGCUUUGUGGGCUGGUUCAGGGCACAGUUUCCAGGACUGGCUGGCUGAGAAGGUGGGUCUCCCUCAGUAAGGGAUUCAGGGAAGGAGGCCAGUUGUGGCUCUGAGCCAGAAAUGGAGUGUGUGUUUUCUCAGAAUCAGAUGUCAGCCCUGGCAAAACUCCCCCAGCGGCAACCAAAAUCGCUUCCCUGGAGGCGUGUCUUUUCUGCUUUUCUCUGUUUCAGGUAAGAAAGACUCAGAAAACAGAGAAGGCAGAGCCAGUCAUGGCAGAGCCUCAGCAGAGCCUGGUCUCCAGGGUCAGUCACUGAUGACAUUCGCUGAGCCACAGCCCAUGCCCAGAAGCGUUCCAGUGUUCACAUAAACCACAGCCUCCUCCAGAAGUAAGCACUGACAGGGAAUAUAUCAGAGCACCAUUCUGACAAACAGAUUCUUAGAAAAACAUGCUGUGACUGAGGCAGAGUCAUUGCAAGAAGGGCAUUGCAGGAGUAACUUUUACUGCCUCUGUCCUGCUCCCUCCCAAGAAGAUCACCCCACGUGGCUGCGAAUGUCUUUGCAACUUCCUACAUAAUUCUAGUAAUUCUAGUAUCAGUCCUUAAUAGACAGUGUGGGUCAUUGGAAACCUUCAAAUCCCCAUUAAUUUGGGUACUCUACUAAACAUAAUUACUGUUCAUGUGGCUUAGGGAUUUUUCCAGGGAGAAAAUUCAAUAAUGGAUAUGGUUUGGCUGUGUCCCCACCCAAAUCUCAUCUUGAAUUGUAGCUCCCAUAAUUCCCACCUGCCAGGGAGGACUUGGUGGGAGGUAAUUGAAUUAUGAGGUUGGGUCUUUCUCGUGCUGUUCUUGUGAUAUUGAAUAAAUCUCAUGAGAUCUGAUGGUUUUAUAAAUGGGAGUUCCCCUGCACAAGCUCUUUUGCCUACUGCCAUGUACAAUGUGACUUUGCUCCUCCUUUGCUUUCUGCCAUGAUUGUGAGGCCUCCCCAGCCAUGUGGAGCUGUAAGCCCAUUAAAUAUCUUUCCUUUAUAAAUUAUCCAGUCUCGGGUAUGUUUUUA